Molecule: ribosomal RNA, 848 nt
Filed under: uncultured archaeon
Lineage: Archaea
Description: bacterial SSU rRNA
Rfam family: Archaeal small subunit ribosomal RNA
Source: RNAcentral
AGGUUACUGCUAUCGAGGUUCGACUAAGCCAUGCGAGUCGAAUGUAGCAAUACAUGGCGUACUGCUCAGUAACACGUGGACAACCUACCCCCCGGACGGGUAUAAACCCGGGAAACUGGGUAUAAUCCCCGAUAGAUCUCGGUCGCUGGAAAGCCCCGAGAUCGAAAGCUCCGGCGCCAGAGGAUGGGUCUGCGGCCUAUCAGGUAGUAGUGGGUGUAGCGUACCUACUAGCCUACGACGGGUACGGGUUGUGAGAGCAAGAGCCCGGAGAUGGAUUCUGAGACACGAAUCCAGGCCCUACGGGGUGCAGCAGGCGCGAAAACUUUACAAUGCCGGCAACGGCGAUAAGGGGACCUCGAGUGCCAGGUUACAAAUCUGGCUGUCGUGAUGCCUAAAAAGCAUUGCAUAGCAAGGGCCGGGCAAGACCGGUGCCAGCCGCCGCGGUAACACCGGCGGCUCGAGUGGUAACCGUUAUUAUUGGGUCUAAAGGGUCUGUAGCCGGCCGGAUAAGUCUCUUGAGAAAUCCAGCAGCUCAACUGUUGGGCUUUCAGGAGAUACUGUCUGGCUCGAGGCCGGGAGAGGUGAGAGGUACUUCAGGGGUAGGGGUGAAAUCUUGUAAUCCUUGAAGGACCACCAGUGGCGAAGGCGUCUCACCAGAACGGACCUGACGGCAAGGGACGAAAGCUAGGGGCACGAACCGGAUUAGAUACCCGGGUAGUCCUAGCCGUAAACGAUACUCGCUAGGUGUCGGCCACGGUGCGACCGUUGUCGGUGCCGUAGGGAAGCCGUGAAGCGAGCCACCUGGGAAGUACGGCCGCAAGGCUGAAACUUAAAGGAAUUGGCGGGGG